CAAUAGCGUAUAUUAAAGUUGUUGCAGUUAAAAAGCUCGUAGUUGGAUUUCGGGGCAGCCUGGCUGGUCCGCCGCAAGGCGAGUACUGGUCAGCCGCCCUUCCUCUCGAAAGCCCCGACUGCUCUUCGUUGCAGUGGUCGGGUAGUUCGGGACGUUUACUUUGAAAAAAUUAGAGUGUUCAAGGCAGGCCUACGCCUGAAUACAUUAGCAUGGAAUAAUGGAAGAGGACCUCGGUCCUAUUUUGUUGGUUUCCAGGGCCGAAGUAAUGAUUAAGAGGGACAGUUGGGGGCAUUCGUAUUUAAUUGUCAGAGGUGAAAUUCUCGGAUUUAUGAAAGACGAACAACUGCGAAAGCAUUUGCCAAGGAUGUUUNCAUUA
This 376-nucleotide ribosomal RNA is filed under the name uncultured eukaryote. RNAcentral describes it as "partial 18S ribosomal RNA". It matches the Rfam family "Eukaryotic small subunit ribosomal RNA", at positions 592 to 975 of the family's 1831-position model. The record is from RNAcentral.